UACUAGUUGGUUUAAAUAUUUUAAAAUAAUACUUAUAGGUUAUUUUGCUUCAAUACGCUUAAAGUUGUAAAUUCACAAACAUUAUAAAUUAUGUAUAGCUUUAAGAUUAGUCAAAAAAUUAUUUGAAUAAGUUAAUAAACGUGCUAAGUAUACAUAUUGGUACAGUAAUAUAGUCUUAAAAGUAUAUAACCUAAAUACUGGAAGGUCGCUUCUUGAGAAUUCAUGAUAAAAGAUCAGAAAUGCAACAGUGUAGAUUAAAUUCAAAGAAAAGAGUGACAUGCGUCAUUAAAUUUGCAAUCGUUUUCCUUUUAGAGAUGGAAAUAAAUUUAACAUAUCGUUGCGACCCGACUGUCCAUUUUUAGAAAGUUUAACCAAGAUCAUUGUUAUUAUUCAAUAUACAAUAACGUACAAUGAAAGUUUCAUUAAAAACACUUUUAACUAGUAUAGUGAAAAUAGCUGAAUCUAAUUAAAACUGCUUUUGUCGUUAUAAUCUUUUGUAAAUAUUUAGAUCUGGAUCUAAAGAAAAGUUUUUUAAACCAUACAAGAAACCGAGCCAGCACUUAAGAUCUGUUAGUGUAACUAGGACUGUGAGUGUGGGCUCUUAUAGAUAAGACCCAGACGACGGAAUACGUUUUGGUAAUAGUUAAGAAGCACAUUUCAGAUGUCAAGAAUAAUCGAAUAUCACACGUCGUAAUCACAAGUCUGAAGUUUGCAAACAUGCUGUGUAUGCUGGUGCCAACUAUAUUGUACGAUUUAAUAAAAUCCAAAUAGUUGCUAAUGAAACAAAUUAACUCCUCAUAACCGAGGAGACGGUUGGCAUUUCAAUUCGGACGCUUUUAAAGAUGAAAACGUGAAAUAAAAUGUCAGACUUCAAAAUAUUAUUAGUUCUUUCUGUGUGCAAAAAAAGUAAAUGUCAAUAAAUCAUUUCAUGGUAAAUUUGACUAUAGUUAGCACAAUAUUCAAAUGUCGACAACGCUUAAGCUUAACGCUGAUCACGAAAACAUUGAAAUAUUCGAAAUUUCGGAAAUAAAAUCAUAGUAAUAAACAAGAGAUUGAACAGCAAAAAUAUGUGUAUCAUCGUCAUCAUCAGCCCACACUGCUGGACAUAGGCUCAAUUUACACUAGUGAGCCGGAUCUCCGACUCUCAUCCGAUUCUUGACCUGACCAGAGUGGUUCCUGCGUUAUGUUCGCCAGUGGGUUGUCACCUCAAGAACCCUUCUACUUUAGCGUUCGUCGGUUCUACGAUGUAUACAUAGAAUCAUAUAAUAUUUUUUUGGAUUAUGUUUUUAAGUAUGGAAAAUGAGUGUGUUUCAAUAAAACAAAGUGUUUUAAUUUU
Bombyx mori (domestic silkworm) is the source of this 1336-nucleotide long non-coding RNA. RefSeq lists it as uncharacterized. NCBI's taxonomy places the organism in Eukaryota, Metazoa, Arthropoda, Insecta, Lepidoptera, Bombycidae. The record is from RefSeq and is a predicted model, not a curated record. The transcript has 2 exons.